AAGACGUCGACGCGUGAUGUCGAGCGGCAGAAGCCGGUCGUGGCCGUAGGCGUGUCAUCGCCGGUGAGUUCUAGCAAGCAGCACAAUCUGGCAGAGGCAGAAGAUGGAACCGUUUCAGCUAAUGGUGUUAUGCAGCAGAAGCCUGCCGCAGAUUGGAAUGGUUUUGUGCAUUGCAUGGAUACUGCUUCCCGGAGUGAAGAGAUGAAUCACUCUCUCCAGAAAUAUGACAUUCAUUUGGAUGGCAUAUAG
Molecule: long non-coding RNA, 249 nt
Filed under: Oryza sativa tropical japonica subgroup
Lineage: Eukaryota; Viridiplantae; Streptophyta; Magnoliopsida; Poales; Poaceae
Also listed under: 1 other name
Description: lncRNA OsCMeo_09g0006580
Source: RNAcentral